CUAUACAUGACUCUGCGCAUAUCAAUAAGCGGAGGAAAAGAAACUAACAAGGAUUCCCCUAGUAACGGCGAGUGAAGCGGGAAGAACUCAAAUUUGAAAUCUUAAAGGGUUUACCUUUACGAAUUGUAGUUUAAAGAAGUGUUUUCUGCUGAGGUUUUGGUAAAAGUUCUUUGGAAUAGGACAUCAUAGAGGGUGAGAAUCCCGUAUUUGACCAUUACUUUUCAACUUUGUGAUACACUUUCAAAGAGUCGGAUUGUUUGGGAAUGCAGUCCAAAAUGGGUGGUAAAUUUCAUCUAAAGCUAAAUAUUGGCGAGAGACCGAUAGCGAACAAGUACCGUGAGGGAAAGAUGAAAAGAACUUUGAAAAGAGAGUUAAACAGUACGUGAAAUUGUCAAAAGGGAAGCGUUUGACACCAGUGUUGUUUUUCUGAAAAUCAAUUAAAGAACUGUUUAUGCUAAGUUGUUUAGACUUUAUCAGCUAUCUGUUUAGUUUUGAGCUUUUCUUUAAUGCACUUUUCAGUUAACAAGUCAACAUCAAUUUCUUUUGCUGUAAAAAAGCUUGAGGAAGGUGGCUUGAGAUUCGUCUUAAGUGUUUAUAGCCUCUUGCCUAUGCAGUCGGAGAGAUUGAGGUCUGCAGCGUAGAUCCUUCGGGGCUAAAUGCAUUUGUGCUAAGUUAUAGCAUUUUAUAGACAACUUGUUGACUAUGAUUUGUCUUGUAGCUUACUCGCUUAUGCUAUUUUACCUACGCUUAGGAUGUUGACAGCAGUAUAGACUU
Molecule: ribosomal RNA, 774 nt
Filed under: uncultured Neocallimastigales
Lineage: Eukaryota; Fungi; Neocallimastigomycota; Neocallimastigomycetes; Neocallimastigales
Description: partial large subunit ribosomal RNA
Rfam family: Eukaryotic large subunit ribosomal RNA
Source: RNAcentral